This 648-nucleotide ribosomal RNA is filed under the name uncultured cyanobacterium. RNAcentral's name for it is "bacterial SSU rRNA". It matches the Rfam family "Bacterial small subunit ribosomal RNA", at positions 72 to 756 of the family's 1533-position model. The record is from RNAcentral. Lineage: Bacteria; Bacillati; Cyanobacteriota.
CGAAGUCUUCGGACUGAGUGGCGGACGGGUGAGUAACGCGUGAGAAUCUGCCUAGAGGUCGGGGACAACCAUUGGAAACGAUGGCUAAUACCGGAUAUGCCUUACGGGGUGAAAGAUUAAUUGCCUUUAGAAGAGCUCGCGUCUGAUUAGCUAGUUGGUGAGGUAAGAGCUCACCAAGGCAGCGAUCAGUAGCUGGUCUGAGAGGAUGACCAGCCACACUGGGACUGAGACACGGCCCAGACUCCUACGGGAGGCAGCAGUGGGGAAUUUUCCGCAAUGGGCGAAAGCCUGACGGAGCAAGACCGCGUGAGGGAGGAAGGCUCUUGGGUUGUAAACCUCUUUUGUCAGGGAAGAACAAAAUGACGGUACCUGACGAAUCAGCAUCGGCUAACUCCGUGCCAGCAGCCGCGGUAAUACGGAGGAUGCAAGCGUUAUCCGGAAUUAUUGGGCGUAAAGCGUCCGCAGGUGGCUGAUCAAGUCUGCGGUCAAAGACCGGGGCUUAACCCUGGAAAGGCCGUGGAAACUGAUAGAGCUAGAGUACCGUAGGGGUAGAGAGAAUUCCCGGUGUAGCGGUGAAAUGCGUAGAGAUCGGGAAGAACAUCGGUGGCGAAAGCGCUCUACUGGACGGUGACUGACACUCAGGGACGA